Molecule: ribosomal RNA, 120 nt
Filed under: Mastacembelus armatus (zig-zag eel)
Lineage: Eukaryota; Metazoa; Chordata; Actinopteri; Synbranchiformes; Mastacembelidae
Source: RNAcentral
GCCUAUGGCCAUACCGUCCUGCGAGCACUAGAUCCUGUCUGAUCCUGGAAGUUAAGCAGGACAGGGCCUGGUUAGUACUUGGAUGAGAGACUGCCUGGGGAAUACCAGGUGCUGUAAGCU